Molecule: microRNA precursor, 104 nt
Filed under: Oryza brachyantha (malo sina)
Lineage: Eukaryota; Viridiplantae; Streptophyta; Magnoliopsida; Poales; Poaceae
Description: MIR2275 microRNA precursor family
Rfam family: MIR2275 microRNA precursor family
Source: Rfam by way of RNAcentral
AAGCUAAAUGUGAGAGUCGGAUGGGACCAAAUCUUCAGCUCCAGCUCCAAAUCACUGGAGUAGAGCACAAGACUUGGUUUCCUCCAAUAUCUCAUCUUCAACUG